ACUCCUACGGGAGGCAGCAGUGGGAAUAUUGCACAAUGGGCGCAAGCCUGAUGCAGCCAUGCCGCGUGUGUGAAGAAGGCCUUCGGGUUGUAAAGCACUUUCAGUUGUGAGGAAAGGUGUGUACGUUAAUAGCGCAUCAUUUGACGUUAGCAACAGAAGAAAGCACCGGCUAACUCCGUGCCAGCAGCCGCGGUAAUACGGAGGGUGCGAGCGUUAAUCGGAAUUACUGGGCGUAAAAGCGCAUG
Molecule: ribosomal RNA, 245 nt
Filed under: uncultured bacterium
Lineage: Bacteria
Description: partial 16S ribosomal RNA
Rfam family: Bacterial small subunit ribosomal RNA
Source: RNAcentral